UUUGCCUCCCGAGCCCUUUUGGGGAGUUGCAGCGAUGAGAACGAAAAAGGCAUUCAAAUGAAAAAAUAAAUAAAACGGUGUGUCUGAUAUAUGAAACAACUUCCUCAUAGCUAUUCAAAUAGGUUCAAGAAGAGGCUGCCUGACUUUUUGGCUCAAAUCACUUGUGCCACAAAUGAUUUCUUUGAAAACCUGAGCAUUGUUCAAAAGGCAACUCCCUUCCACAAAGAAAAGAGGCGACCACUUCCUCGUGCCUCACAAAGAUUGUCAGACGGACUCGCUGAACUGAAUCUUGUCACACCAGAGCACAGUCUGUGUUCUGUCAUCUGAAACAACAUAAUGCUGUUCCUAUUAUUUUGUGGCGGAUGUUUUGCGUUGUCUGCAGGGCAAACCUUUGCUCCAACACCUUCAAUGGGACAAGUGAACAGCACAACACAGGGAACAACACCUCCAGCUCCUACUACUCCAUAUGUGGACCCACCUUUUGGUACUGACACAGCUACUAGUGGAUUUGCAAUUCUUCGAACAGCUGUCACUUCUUAUCAGGAGCUAAAUAAGACUACAGUUGAUCCAGUCUUGAGUCCGCUCUAUGACGUCAUUGGUGCACAGCAACCUAAUCUGGAAUUUCAGCUGACUGUGAAAACUGUCCAGAAGGUUUGAUGGAUUAUGAUUCAAUGCAUAACAGUAAAAACAAAUGAAAGAGAUGCUACAGAGGUUUGUAUUCGACUCUGAAUUCCAAGUCGAGAACUCAGGCCUCUUUCUAAAGCUCCGACCUUUUGACCUGAAGGUCACUGACGACAUGAUUCAACCUCGUUUUUUUCAGCGUUCCCAGUUGUCUUGAAAGCACCAUAAAUCCAGAGAAUGCCAGACUUUGAUGACAAAGUUUGCCCACAAGAAGGACUGCCAUGCCACCUGAUGUUGUGUAGUAAGCUGUUAGUAUCCCAUGUGUGUCACCCUAAGUCACACCCUUUCCCUCUCAGAAUUUAGCCUCGUGUUCUGACUUGGUGGACUGAUUAGCCUGUUUUAGAGAAAUGUCAUCAUCAAAUAUUAUAAGAGCUUUCAUUGUCUCCUUAUAUGCCCCCGUUAUUUAUCCUACAGUUCUGACUUGGCUACACAGGGAAAAUACUGUAAGAAUGGCUGAUGUUCUGAAUGCUGUCGCUGACCAUUUCAAAAGUGUUGAACAAAUAGGCAUAUCAACUACAUCCGUCUUGGCUUGCUCAUCAUUAAUGUCUUAAUCGAAAUUACGGCUUGCCUCUUAUCCGCUCAUCGUUCCCUUAUGCCAUAGUUUGUACAUCUCAAUUGUUAUAUAGGUCUAUCUCAUUAGUAUCUAAUAAUUUUAAGAAAUGUUGGAAUUAUGCAUUUCAUUGUUUUGCUUACUUUGUGUAUUAUAAUUAGCUCAUGUGCUUUUCUUCCGCUAGGAGGGGAUACUAUAUAAUGUUGUUGGGUCUGUAACCAUGUUUGCCAGUGAUAGUCUCCUCCCAUUCAAAUAUUUUUUUUCAACAAAAAGUUAAGUAAUGGACAUGUGAUUUCAGAUAAUAUUUGGAGGGUUGUUUUGUUUGCGCAAUGCGCUGUCUGUGCGUCUGUAUAUUGUCUAUAAAAGUGGAUCCUCGUGAUUGUGUUUUCCUUCCUUUUUAGACCACAAUAGGCCUAAUAAAAUACUUCAAGAAGCUAA
Molecule: long non-coding RNA, 1669 nt
Organism: Oncorhynchus tshawytscha (Chinook salmon)
Lineage: Eukaryota; Metazoa; Chordata; Actinopteri; Salmoniformes; Salmonidae
Exons: 5
Source: RefSeq, a predicted model, not a curated record